GACGAACGCUGGCGGCGUGCUUAACACAUGCAAGUCGAACGGAAAGGCCCUGCUUUUGUGGGGUGCUCGAGUGGCGAACGGGUGAGUAACGCGUGAGUAACCUGCCCUUGACUUUGGGAUAACUUCAGGAAACUGGGGCUAAUACCGGAUAGGAGCUCCUGCUGCAUGGUGGGGGUUGGAAAGUUUCGGCGGUUGGGGAUGGACUCGCGGCUUAUCAGCUUGUUGGUGGGGUAGUGGCUUACCAAGGCUUUGACGGGUAGCCGGCCUGAGAGGGUGACCGGCCACAUGGGGACUGAGAUACGGCCCAGACUACUACGGGAGGCAGCAGUGGGGAAUAUUGCACAAUGGGCGGAAGCCUGAUGCAGCAACGCCGCGUGCGGGAUGACGGCCUUCGGGUUGUAAACCGCUUUCGCCUGUGACGAAGCGUGAGUGACGGUAAUGGGUAAAGAAGCACCGGCUAACUACGU
Molecule: ribosomal RNA, 467 nt
Filed under: uncultured bacterium
Lineage: Bacteria
Description: partial 16S ribosomal RNA
Rfam family: Bacterial small subunit ribosomal RNA
Source: RNAcentral